RNAcentral lists this transfer RNA (75 nucleotides) under Candidatus Methanosuratincola petrocarbonis (ex Vanwonterghem et al. 2016). RNAcentral's name for it is "tRNA-Tyr". It matches the Rfam family "tRNA". From Rfam's summary of the family: Transfer RNA (tRNA) molecules are approximately 80 nucleotides in length. Their secondary structure includes four short double-helical elements and three loops (D, anti-codon, and T loops). The record is from RNAcentral. Lineage: Archaea; Thermoproteati; Thermoproteota; Methanosuratincolia; Candidatus Methanomethylicales; Candidatus Methanomethylicaceae. RNAcentral also lists the same sequence under 9 other names.
CCCGCCCUAGCUCAGUGGUAGAGCGCCCGGCUGUAGACCGGGUGGUCGCUGGUUCAAAUCCGGCGGGCGGGACCA